CUGCCSUCUCCUCGCUUCCCACCCUGCCUUCUCAGCUGACCUGAGAUGGCCUCCCCCCCACCCCCACCCAAAAAAGAGAAGAACUCUUCUGCUUCCCGUGCCCACGAGGGUUGAAGACAGUCACCCAAGAUUCCGCAUGACUGCAAGUAUAAAUCUGACGGAAGUAAUUACCCAUCAUCCUCCAGGGGCCCGGAGCGCGCUUCCCGCCUCCUCUUCAACUUCGACGUAGUUCAACCUUUUUCCACUCAGAUGGGAGGAGAGUUGUGGUGCGUGAGCGGGCAAAGUCGUACUUGGAGUUAAUUGCCUCGGGCAGGUGAGGACAUCAGUUCCAGAGUGUGCCCAGACAGAUGGCUCUCUCAAGGAAGGUUCAAUCAACUAAUUGUGAAGUUCUGAUAGGACUGUGGGGAGGUGCUGACCUAGAGCUGGGGCUCGGGGACACGAGGCGGCCCGAGGACUAAAUUAAAACUUUUAUUUGGAAUUCCGAGAUCAGGAAUACCGCUUUCAGCUAUGCAUAAACACAUGGACAUACGGAGCCAAGGCCGCGCUCAAGCAUUUGUCCUUGCUGCUGCCUCGAGCUGUGGCCUUAAUUGCCACGGGAGUGGAAGGAGGUGUAAAUAAAGUUGUUGACUGAGGUGAAAAUUCCUCUGCAAAAAAAGAAAAUGAUUCCCAUACUCGUAGGGUUCAUGGACAGAAAGCAAAUGCAAAACGGGUUGGUUUAAAGGGGCCAGUCAAAACAGUAAACUUUCAGAGACUUAUAUAUACAGUUAUAUGUCAAAAAAUUUGAAUAUUGCAUAAAAGUGCAAUAUUUCUCGCCAGUCCUCUCAGAAAGUGAAAGUUAUUUUACAAAAAUUCGUUACACAUUUUUUAAAAUUUUAUUUUAUUAAUUGUAUUUUUUUUUUUUUUUUGCAGUUUUUGCUGAUUAUGGCUUACAAGCGAAGAACACGCAAAAUUUAAUGUCUCAGAAAAUUAGAAUAGCACAUCAAAACAAUAGAAAAAAGGAUGCCAAGAACAUAUUUUUGACAUUCAGUACUUGAUUGAGCCUACUCUUGCAUGCAUGGUCAUCAAAGCAACUUUUGGUACAUUUGGCAGUGUGGGCAGGCGCCACGUUCUGCUGGAAAAUAAAAUCUGCAUCUCCAUACAGUUUGCUAACAGGGGGGGAGAAUGAAGAGGUCUAGAAUUUCCUGGUAGAUGGCUGCGUCUACGGCAUAUGGCACACCAGACCAUCACUGACUGUGGAAACUUCCCACUGGACUUCAAGCAACAUGGAUUUUAUGCCUCUCUGCUCUUCCUCCAGGAAACAGGACUCUGGACGAUUGUGCGACAGUCCCAUUUCCUUCCUCCUUAGACCAUGUAACAUCCUCUGACGUUGUCUUUAGGUUCAGGAGAGGCUCAACAUGGCAUUUGUCUAGUAUGUGUCUGUGCAUGGUGGCUCUCCUGGAAUGGAUUUUACUUGACCAUCCUAUCAUGGCUGCAGUUUUCCCAGUUGCUGAUUCAAAUUUUUCUACCACAGUUCUUCCUUGCACUCAACCUUCUGUAAAUAUGCUUGGAUAGAGAACUCUCUAGCCUUGCCGUUGCCGUCUUAUGUAUUUCCGCUAAUCUCGCUUUACAGCUCAGUAUGUGCUUUCUUCCAUUCACUUGGAUUUUUCCAGUCGAAUUUCAACUUGGUCAAUCAGAAGAAGUUGUGAACGACCACAUUGGUUUUCUGCACUACUUUAGAAUUGUAGUCUGCCUGCAGCUUCAGCAGUGACAGCAGUGGAAGUGAACAAAGAUGUUCAAUCCAUGUUGGUGCACGCUUCCAAAUUUUUGGAUUAUCAUCAACAGCAAUUUCCAGUAAGCUGCUCUAAAUCAAAGAAUGAGCAACACUUUUGGUAAGACUUGAAGCUACCACUGCAUUGUAGUUCUACAAAGAGCUAAAUCUUGCUAUUCCAGUUUUUGCAGCAUUUAAUAAUGCUCAUCACGCAAUAGUCAAAAACAAAUAGGACUUUUUACAGUCCUUAGAUUUUAAAUCUCCGCUACAAUUUUUAGCUGCUGAACAGGCACCAGUAGCUUUCUAACAAUGUCGCUUUUUGAUCGUCGGCUUCUCUAUUUCUGUGACUGGGAGAGAGCUGGAUUCCUGCUCCAACCCAGCAAAGUUGAUUGGCGAUCGAUCUCUCAUGAUGUGAGAUUCUCCCACUUGCUAAACAGGAGGGGGGGAAAUUCAUUAUGAUUUAACAUCAGCAUUAUAGAUGUCACCAGCAACCUAAUCAAUCAAAAAGUUCAGUAUUUGUAAUUUUUUUAAAUUUCCCCUCAUUGAAUCAAUUUGUCGUGUGUCAAGAAUGAAAAAGGAUACAGUGAGUUCUCAAAUCGAUGCUGUAAUGGAGAACACCGAAAAGAUUGUUUUUUGUCAACUGAAUAUAACAUUGGUUUAUUAGCUUAUCUUCAGAUUGAUAUCUAUUACAACACAAAUGUACAUCUUAUAAAGGGCGGUGUGAUCAAUGUCCAACAUUGCUAUGUCAAAUUAAUCUAAAACCAAACUACUGAAAUUGUUUAUUACUUGGUAAAAAAAACAACAUGUGAGGAUGAGAGAAGUUGAGCUAAUUUAGUCUGAUUAUGACACAACUGAGUUCAGUACAAUGUAAAGCACUGUAUAACUUGGCAUGAAAAUCAAUUAAACAUUUGUUUCCCA
Poecilia reticulata (guppy) is the source of this 2665-nucleotide non-coding RNA. NCBI's taxonomy places the organism in Eukaryota, Metazoa, Chordata, Actinopteri, Cyprinodontiformes, Poeciliidae. The record is from RefSeq and is a predicted model, not a curated record.